This 490-nucleotide ribosomal RNA is filed under the name uncultured bacterium. RNAcentral's name for it is "partial 16S ribosomal RNA". It matches the Rfam family "Bacterial small subunit ribosomal RNA", at positions 29 to 506 of the family's 1533-position model. The record is from RNAcentral.
GUGAACGCUGGCGGUAGGCCUAACCCAUGCAAGUCGCACGGCAGCACAGUAAGAGCUUGCUCUUACGGGUGGCGAGUGGCGGACGGGUGAGGAAUACAUCGGAAUCUACUUUUUCGUGGGGGAUAACGUAGGGAAACUUACGCUAAUACCGCAUACGACCUACGGGUGAAAGCAGGGGAUCUUCGGACCUUGCGCGAUUGAAUGAGCCGAUGUCGGAUUAGCUAGUUGGCGGGGUAAAGGCCCACCAAGGCGACGAUCCGUAGCUGGUCUGAGAGGAUGAUCAGCCACACUGGAACUGAGACACGGUCCAGACUCCUACGGGAGGCAGCAGUGGGGAAUAUUGGACAAUGGGCGCAAGCCUGAUCCAGCCAUACCGCGUGGGUGAAGAAGGCCUUCGGGUUGUAAAGCCCUUUUGUUGGGAAAGAAAAGCAGCAGGUUAAUACCCCGCUGUUCUGACGGUACCCAAAGAAUAAGCACCGGCUAACUUCGG